Molecule: ribosomal RNA, 200 nt
Filed under: Staphylococcus pseudintermedius
Lineage: Bacteria; Bacillati; Bacillota; Bacilli; Caryophanales; Staphylococcaceae
Description: partial 23S ribosomal RNA
Rfam family: Bacterial large subunit ribosomal RNA
Source: RNAcentral
AUAUAGAUUAAGUUAUUAAGGGCGCACGGUGGAUGCCUUGGCACUAGAAGCCGACGAAGGACGUUACUAACGACGAUAUGCUUUGGGGAGCUGUAAGUAAGCUUUGAUCCAGAGAUUUCCGAAUGGGGAAACCCAGCACGAGUUAUGUCGUGUUAUCUGCAUGUGAAUACAUAGCAUGCAAGAAGGCAGACCCGGAGAAC